GGGAAUGUAGCUCAGUGGUAGAGCAAGUGCUGAGCAUACACAAGGUCCUGGGUUUGAUCCCCAGCACCACCA
Molecule: non-coding RNA, 72 nt
Organism: Ictidomys tridecemlineatus (thirteen-lined ground squirrel)
Lineage: Eukaryota; Metazoa; Chordata; Mammalia; Rodentia; Sciuridae
Source: Rfam